RNAcentral lists this ribosomal RNA (395 nucleotides) under uncultured bacterium. Its description in RNAcentral is "partial 16S ribosomal RNA". It matches the Rfam family "Bacterial small subunit ribosomal RNA", at positions 523 to 916 of the family's 1533-position model. The record is from RNAcentral.
AUACGUAGGUGGCAAGCGUUGUCCGGAUUUAUUGGGCGUAAAGCGAGCGCAGGCGGUUUCUUAAGUCUGAUGUGAAAGCCCCCGGCUCAACCGGGGAGGGUCAUUGGAAACUGGGAGACUUGAGUGCAGAAGAGGAGAGUGGAAUUCCCUGUGUAGCGGUGAAAUGCGGAGAUAUAUGGAGGAACACCAGUGGCGAAGGCGGCUCUCUGGUCUGUAACUGACGCUGAGGCUCGAAAGCGUGGGGAGCAAACAGGAUUAGAUCCCCUGGUGGUCCACGCCGUAAACGAUGAGUGCUAAGUGUUGGAGGGUUUCCGCCCUUCAGUGCUGCAGCUAACGCAUUAAGCACUCCGCCUGGGGAGUACGACCGCAAGGUUGAAACUCAAAGGAAUUGACGG